Molecule: small nucleolar RNA, 125 nt
Organism: Esox lucius (northern pike)
Lineage: Eukaryota; Metazoa; Chordata; Actinopteri; Esociformes; Esocidae
Product: small nucleolar RNA SNORA65
Source: Ensembl
CCCGCCACUUCGCCAGUCUGUCUUGUGACUGAGUAUAGUCCAGUGGGGGCUAAGACAGACCCAGCUCUAGGAAACAGGGCUGCCCGAACAGUGGGUUUCCCUGUGCCGAAAGGCCUGGAACAAAU